RNAcentral lists this ribosomal RNA (253 nucleotides) under uncultured bacterium. Its description in RNAcentral is "partial 16S ribosomal RNA". It matches the Rfam family "Bacterial small subunit ribosomal RNA", at positions 524 to 776 of the family's 1533-position model. The record is from RNAcentral.
UACGUAGGGCGCAAGCGUUAUCCGGAAUUAUUGGGCGUAAAGCGUGCGUAGGCGGUUUGUUAAGUCUGUUGUGAAAUCCCCGGGCUCAACCUGGGAAUGGCAAUGGAUACUGGCAAGCUAGAGUGUGAUAGAGGAUGGUGGAAUUCCCGGUGUAGCGGUGAAAUGCGUAGAGAUCGGGAGGAACAUCAGUGGCGAAGGCGGCCAUCUGGAUCAACACUGACGCUGAGGCACGAAAGCGUGGGGAGCAAACAGG